AUGACCAGAGUUCCGCGAGUAUAUAUAGCCCGGAGACGACGAAUAAAAAUGUGUUCAUUCGCCUCGAACUUUAGAGGGGCUCAUUGAAGACUUUAUUGAAUGAUUACCCAACAGGUAAGUGAGGGUCUGUGUUGGAGAUGA
RNAcentral lists this ribosomal RNA (141 nucleotides) under Triticum aestivum (bread wheat). RNAcentral's name for it is "partial small subunit ribosomal RNA". The record is from RNAcentral. Lineage: Eukaryota; Viridiplantae; Streptophyta; Magnoliopsida; Poales; Poaceae.